This 253-nucleotide ribosomal RNA is filed under the name uncultured bacterium. RNAcentral's name for it is "partial 16S ribosomal RNA". It matches the Rfam family "Bacterial small subunit ribosomal RNA", at positions 524 to 776 of the family's 1533-position model. The record is from RNAcentral.
UACAGAGGGUGCGAGCGUUGUCCGGAAUCACUGGGCGUAAAGGGCGCGUAGGCGGCUUGAUAAGCGUGCGGUGAAAGCCCGGGGCUCAACCCCGGGUCGGCCGUGCGAACUGUCGAGCUGGAGCACUGUAGAGGCAGGUGGGAUUCCGGGUGUAGCGGUGGAAUGCGUAGAGAUCCGGAAGAACACCGGUGGCGAAGGCGGCCUGCUGGGCAGUGGCUGACGCUGAGGCGCGACAGCGUGGGGAGCAAACAGG